GUCCGCGUGGCGCAAUGGUAGCGCGUUGGACUUCUAUUCCUGUGCAUCCCCACGGAUAGGAGCCAUCCAAAGGCUGUGGGUUCGAGCCCCACCGUGGAUG
Molecule: transfer RNA, 100 nt
Organism: Microdochium bolleyi
Lineage: Eukaryota; Fungi; Ascomycota; Sordariomycetes; Xylariales; Microdochiaceae
Rfam family: tRNA
About the family: Transfer RNA (tRNA) molecules are approximately 80 nucleotides in length. Their secondary structure includes four short double-helical elements and three loops (D, anti-codon, and T loops).
Source: Rfam